RNAcentral lists this transfer RNA (76 nucleotides) under Spirochaetota bacterium. RNAcentral's name for it is "Spirochaetes bacterium tRNA-Ile". It matches the Rfam family "tRNA". Rfam says of the family: Transfer RNA (tRNA) molecules are approximately 80 nucleotides in length. Their secondary structure includes four short double-helical elements and three loops (D, anti-codon, and T loops). Lineage: Bacteria; Pseudomonadati; Spirochaetota. The record is from RNAcentral.
AGACGCAUAGCUCAAUGGUGAGAGCGCCCGUCCUAUAAACGGGGGUAUGAGGGUUCGACUCCCUCUGCGUCUACCA